RNAcentral lists this unclassified non-coding RNA (244 nucleotides) under plant metagenome. Its description in RNAcentral is "partial contains small subunit ribosomal RNA, internal transcribed spacer 1, and 5.8S ribosomal RNA". The stretch from base 1 to 52 matches the Rfam family "Eukaryotic small subunit ribosomal RNA", at positions 1780 to 1831 of the family's 1831-position model. The record is from RNAcentral.
GGAUAAAAGUCGUAACAAGGUUUCCGUAGGUGAACCUGCGGAAGGAUCAUUAAAGAAUCGCCCCGUUUUUUAUAAAUGGGUUCUAUUCCCAAACCGUGUAUACAUACCUUUGUUGCUUUGGCAGGCCGCCUCCGGGCGUCGGCUCCGGCUGAUAGUGCCUGCCAGAGGACCCAAACUCUGUGUUUAGUGAUGUCUGAGUACUAUAUAAUAGUUAAAACUUUCAACAACGGAUCUCUUGGUUCUG